GUUCAUUUGCGCGAAUGUUGUGGCCGUGUGAGUAAGUGUGUUAGUUUGUAUCUGUAUGUUUGUGUUCCAUGGAUGAUAGAUGUUUGUGUGUGUGAACGUAUGUAUGUAUGUAUGUAUGUAUGUAUGUGUGCUAAAAUAUUACUCUGAAAUAUCUACACCGUGAUCUUAUUUGAUCUAAUCGGAGUCGUGCCUUACUCCGAUUGAGAGAUGAUAAUAACCGAAACGCUAGCCAGUUGUGGCGGUGUGCGUGGAGCAAUUCGACUAUCUUAAGGCAUUCACAACAAAGGUUGUGGUCAGAAAUGAUGAAUUGAUCAGAUAUACUAGUCCCGGCAUGAUCCUGGGUUGUAAACCCGGCGUCUCCACCGCGGACAGUGAGUAUAGAGGCGAUUCUGAUCUAA
Non-coding RNA from Chanos chanos (milkfish), 398 nucleotides. RefSeq annotates it as small Cajal body-specific RNA 2. The record is from RefSeq and is a predicted model, not a curated record. The transcript has a single exon. Lineage: Eukaryota; Metazoa; Chordata; Actinopteri; Gonorynchiformes; Chanidae.